CACGUAGGGGCCAAGCGUUGUCCGGAUUUAUUGGGCGUAAAGAGCUCGUAGGCGGUUCGACAAGUCGGGUGUGAAAACUCCGGGCUCAACCCGGAGACGCCACCCGAUACUGUCGUGACUGGAGUCCGGUAGGGGAGUGGGGAAUUCCUGGUGUAGCGGUGAAAUGCGCAGAUAUCAGGAGGAACACCGGUGGCGAAGGCGGCAUCCUGGACCAAUUCUGACGCUGAGUGAGCGAAAGCCAGGGGAGCAAACGGG
Molecule: ribosomal RNA, 255 nt
Filed under: uncultured bacterium
Lineage: Bacteria
Description: partial 16S ribosomal RNA
Rfam family: Bacterial small subunit ribosomal RNA
Source: RNAcentral